UCAAGGAAGCCACGUUUCUAAGAGGGCUCUGGCAUAUGCAUUGGCAACCAGUGACCUGGAAAUGAUAUCUGUAAAUUUCUGGCUCCAAAAAGGUGUUCUUUCCUUUCAAAUCUCCUGAUGGAUGCUGCCAUAGGAAGCAGAAGAGGGCUGAAACCAAUACAGGAGCCUGUGCUAAUCCCUCAGGACUCAAAAAUCCCCCAAUUUUUGGAGGACAAGGAUCAUCUUGCCCACCUUGCAACCAGCCAGCCAUUCCAGGAAAGCUAUUCCUACAGCCUCAUGGUGGGGUGAGGGCUGAGAAAUGGGGCAUGGCAGCUGUUUUGCAUCCACCCUGUUGUUGUUCUCUUACCAACAACCAGCAGCCUCUUUUUUCAUCAAGAACUCCGCUGGCUGUUUAUUCA
Molecule: small RNA, 398 nt
Filed under: Pongo abelii (Sumatran orangutan)
Lineage: Eukaryota; Metazoa; Chordata; Mammalia; Primates; Hominidae
Description: processed transcript
Source: RNAcentral